RNAcentral lists this small RNA (35 nucleotides) under Bombyx mori (domestic silkworm). RNAcentral describes it as "ovarian small RNA-11381". The record is from RNAcentral. Lineage: Eukaryota; Metazoa; Arthropoda; Insecta; Lepidoptera; Bombycidae.
ACCUGAAAUUUCGACGAUUUAACGGUUUUGACGUG